UUUAAACUGUACUGGAAUUAACAUGACGUUUUAAAUUAAACUAAUUGAUCAUCUCAGCAAUAAGGUAUCUUUUUCUGCCAUUUUUUUGACUACUAAUUCUAGCAUGUCUAGAAUUAGUAUGACAUAGAUAGAUAGAUAGAUAGGUAGAUAGAUAGAUGGAUAGAUGCGUACCUACAUACAUACAUAGAAACAUACUAUUUUAAAUAAUCUGCUCCGGACAUAAACCAUUCCUCCAGCUCAUAAAGUCUUGCAGUUGGCAGUCAUUAAAACCUUCAGGCUCCAAAAUAUAUACAUUGCAGCAAGAUUCAACUCAUCUUUUAAAUAUUCAAUAAUUUAUUCGAUGAUGUUUUCUGUAGAAGUUUGGCUUUGAAGUCAAACACUACUUAACCAUACCAGUCUGUGAUUUUCCAGUUUCCUGCUGACUUUUUAAGAGAAUUUAACAAAAAUUACAUGAGGAUCUAUUUAUCUUCAUUAUGUUUUUGUUAUAAGUCAGAGGACUCCUGCAGCCUCUCUCAUGAGAAGACCAUUUUAACUGCAACUUCUACUGUGCUAACUGGUGCUUGAGAGCCACUGAGGCACUUCAGACACUUAUGAUAUUCUCCAAGGGCUGCAAUGUAUUCCAGCAACUGCUUUGACAAAGGGCAUCAGAACAAUGGAGUAUCUUUGCUUUAAUAAAGCAAAUGUUGCAGUCCUUAGCCUGGAGAGUAUGUUGAGCAUUUACAGACCUCUCUGGAGUAGUGCAGACUUCUCUGGACAACUGUGAGCAACUAAGCCAAAACACCUUGUUAGCAAGUGGCUUGGAUGUAAAUCAUUAUAAUCUGCUGCAGAUAGCAGGCUGUAUCACUGCUUUACUGUUGGAAACAGCAGAAAGCACUCCUUGUUAAGUAGUUGGGAAAUGUAUAUAAUUUCCCUGCUCAAGCAGUUUGAGGUCUUUAAUAGGUUCAUUCACAAUUUCCAAGUACAGGUUGCUCCUUCUAGGAAUUCUGCCUUAAGAUAAGGAUGCGAGUAGUGUAUACUAAACAGCAUAGCUAUGAACUUGCAUGUAGUAGGUUUGAUGAAGUAAGCUUCUUGCUUAUCUUAAUCUAUCAAGUAUAGAGAAAAGAACUCCUCUGAGGGAAGUGGACAGAUUAAUACAUAUUCAGAUUUCAGCUAUGUUGGCCUACCAGUGCUGGUCUGCUAGAAUCAGUUUAACGUGCAUAAUAUGGUAAAAGCAUGACAGAAGUUUUAUAGGUGCUGGUGUCUACAAUGAAUUGAAGUUUGUGUAGUUAUAGCUGUGGGCACUGAUCAACACUCCACUAACAGAUUUUUAAAAUAUGAAAGAAUAAAUAGAAAAAAAAAAAAAAAA
Tyto alba (common barn owl) is the source of this 1345-nucleotide long non-coding RNA. RefSeq lists it as uncharacterized. The transcript is spliced from 2 exons. The record is from RefSeq and is a predicted model, not a curated record. Lineage: Eukaryota; Metazoa; Chordata; Aves; Strigiformes; Tytonidae.